AUUGAACGCUGGCGGAAUGCUUUACACAUGCAAGUCGAGCGGCAGCGCGGGGGCAACCCUGGCGGCGAGCGGCGAACGGGUGAGUAACAUAUCGGAACGUACCCAGUCGUGGGGGGACAACUAUCCGAAAGGAUAGCUAAUACCGCAUACGUCCUGAGGGAGAAAGCGGGGGAUCGCAAGACCUCGCGCGAUUGGAGCGGCCGAUAUCGGAUUAGCUAGUUGGUGGGGUAAAGGCUCACCAAGGCGACGAUCCGUAGCGGGUCUGAGAGGACGACCCGCCACACUGGAACUGAGACACGGUCCAGACUCCUACGGGAGGCAGCAGUGGGGAAUUUUGGACAAUGGGGGCAACCCUGAUCCAGCCAUUCCGCGUGAGUGAAGAAGGCCUUCGGGUUGUAAAGCUCUUUCAGCAGGAACGAAACGGUGGUCCCUAAUACGGACUACUAAUGACGGUACCUGAAGAAGAAGCACCGGCUAACUACGUG
Molecule: ribosomal RNA, 485 nt
Filed under: uncultured bacterium
Lineage: Bacteria
Description: bacterial SSU rRNA
Rfam family: Bacterial small subunit ribosomal RNA
Source: RNAcentral